Molecule: ribosomal RNA, 250 nt
Filed under: uncultured archaeon
Lineage: Archaea
Description: partial 16S ribosomal RNA
Rfam family: Archaeal small subunit ribosomal RNA
Source: RNAcentral
UAUGCGAAGGGGAGCGGUAAAAUGCAAUAAUCCUUUGCAGACCACCUGUGGCGAAGGCGUCUGACCAGAACGGAUUCGACGGUGAGGGACGAAAGCUGGGGGAGCGAACCGGAUUAGAUACCCGAGUAGUCCCAGCUGUAAACGCUGCGAGCUAGGUGUUGCAUAUUCUAUAUGAAUAUGCAGUGUCGAAGCGAAGGUGAUAAGCUCGCCGCCUGGGAAGUACGGUCGCAAGGCUGAAACUUAAAGGAAU